UUUUGUAGUUUUGUAAUUUUAUAUUACUUAUAAUUCAUUGGUAUAAUAAUGAUGAGUAAAAUUUAUUUACAAUACUGGAUAUAUUAGCAUUAAAUAAUUUUACAAAUUUUUUAAAAAAUAUUUAUCAAAAAUUAUAUAUUUAUUCCGUAUCUGAUAUGUCUUGGGUAUUAAAAGUAUUUAAAAAAUUAUAUGAAUUAAAAAUUGUAUCUAAUAAAAUAGCAUACAAUACUAUUGAAUAGAUGCAAAAUGUUGGAAUUCACUAAAAACUUUAUUACUUAUAUACUAUAGAAAAUAUGGAAGUGAUUAUUGUAGAAACAAUUUUACAAGAAUGUAUAAUUACACUUACACAUAUUAAAGAUGUAAAUAUAAAUAUAGUAGUUAAACUCUGCAAUCAAACAUAUUCUAAAAUAAAUCAGAAGUUAAUGUCAUCUUUCAAAAAUUUGAUAAAGUUUGAUGAAACAAAAAAGAGACCAAAAAAAAUUAGAAUUAUUAGAAUUUAUUAGAAUAUGACACAGAUAUUAAUUCAGCAGAAUUAUUUUCUACAAUCGAAUCAGAGAUUACUUCAGAUAUAGAUUAAUAUUUAAAAAUAGUUAAUACAAAAAAUAGGGCUUGGGAAACAAAUAAACAAAAUAAUACUAAUGAUGUAAAAAAUGAAAAUUAUUUUACAUUAUAUUCAAUAAGUAAAUAAAAUAAUUUUUUUUUAUAUAUAUUUUGAUAUAUAUUUUUUUAUAUAUUAACCAUUAUAUAUUAUAGAUGAUUUAUCAAAACCAUACUUUGCAUAUGAAAGGACAAAAUUUUGGAAAUUUUAUGUCAAUAAAGAAAGUCUUUGAAAAAGAUUCAAACAUAAUGAUUAUAAAUAUGUUAUGAAUAUUCGCAAUUCAGUAAGAAAAGAUCAACAAUCAUUCUUUACUCAUUCCAACUUGGGACAAAUGCUAUAUCAUAUCAAAUAUUAUAUGAUGUUGCCAAACAUAUUUUGAUUUGUUUAGCUGAGAAAAAUUUAUAGAUAUUAUACACUUCUUAAAAAUAUUAAUUUUAAUAAUUCAAGCAAAAAUUCAUUUGCAUAAAAUUAAUACUGCAACUGUUCUGCUUUUUGCUGAGAUAUAUUUAACAAAUCAACGAAUUGUAAAAGCUUUUAUCUUAAACGUGAGUUAUUUUCUUAUUAAGAUAUAAUAUUUAAAAUGAAAACUAAUAAUUAAUUGCAGUUAUUUUUAUGAAACAUUCUUUCUAGAAACUAAUCUCAUAUAUACUGAUUCAAAUAAAUGGAAAAUAUAUUCUACUGUAAAAGAUAAUUCUAUUAAAAUACAAGUAAUAAACAUUUUAUUAAAUGCAUUUUAUGAAAGAUUUCCAGAUUAUGCAAUUUUUCUUUUUCAUUUUUUUUUUUUUAAUUGUAAAUCAAUUUAGCAAUUUUUAUCUACUAGGUAAAAAGAAUAAUUUUAUAUGAUUAAAUGAUAUUAUUUAUUAAUAAAUUUAAUAUCAGUUAUAUAAAUACAUUCAGAAUAUAUAUUUUUGUAAAUAUACAUUACAUUUUUAGAUCUUACGAAUAUUGAAAAAUUAAUUAUUGAAUAUAAUUUUAUAUUAAAUAUUAUUAUAUAUUAAAUAUUUAUAUUAUAUAUUAUAUAUUAUUAUAUAUUAUUAUAUAUUAUAUAUUAUAUAUAAUAUUAUUAAAUAUUUAAUAUAAUAUUAUUUCGUGCAUUAAUUGCCAAAUUGGUUCAGAUUAAUGUGACAUUAGUUAAAUGUUUACAUCAAAUAGUAAUUAAUUUAGGAAUAUAUUCUAAAUUACAAAUAAAGUGUUAAUAAGUGUUCAUGCAUUUUUAUAUUAAAAAAAAAUUAUAAUUGCUGUUAAUAAAAAAUAUUCAUAUUAAUAUUGCGUUAAUACUUAUUGUGCUCAUUAUUUCUUGAGAUUAGUUUUAUCCAACAACACAUCUUAUUAUAAAUUCUGAUUGGACAAAAGAAGAAAUGUAUUUUACAAUGAUGGAUUUAAUAGAACAACUUUUAUUAAAUAUUGGAUCUGAAAUCAAUCAUCUAAAAAAAUAUUCUAUAUAUCUUUGAGACAAGUUAUACUAUUACUUAUAUUUCUAAUUAGAACUUAUUAAUUAAUUUUAAUCUUUUACAGAAUUUAAAUAAGAAAUUUAUUUGUAAUAAAAAAAUAAAUCAACAAUAUGCUAAACAAAUAGAACAGAGCAAAAUUUUAAUAUAAAAUAUAUUGCAAAAAGAAUUCUACCUAUUUUAAUAACAAAAAAACUUAAAGGUAAAAUAUUUAAGUUAAGUAGUAUAAGUAUUAAGAUAUUUAAGAACAAUAAAUUCGAAUUUUAAUCAUACAUAUAUUUAAUUAAAAGUAAUGGAAACAAGAUUAUAUUUUUGAAUAAAUUGUUUUUUUAGAAUCUAUGUAAAAAUUUCAAUUUUAAUUUUUUAACUUCUAAACUAAUUUACUUAUAGAAUUUAAUUAUUAUGAUAUAACAAAUAUUAUUUAAUUUUUAUUUUUAAAUUAACAAUAUUUCAUUUAUAAUUGUCUUAUACACAAUAUAUUACAAAUUUUAAAAUAUAUUUUUAAGUUGAUUAUGUUUUGAGUAGCUUAAAAUAUAUUGUAUUAUGAAGUUAUACGCAUUAUAAAUAUUAUAUAAUUGUAUAAUAAUAAAUUAUGUGUAAUAUAUAUAUAAA
Molecule: long non-coding RNA, 2658 nt
Organism: Apis cerana (Asiatic honeybee)
Lineage: Eukaryota; Metazoa; Arthropoda; Insecta; Hymenoptera; Apidae
Source: RefSeq, a predicted model, not a curated record